Molecule: ribosomal RNA, 504 nt
Filed under: uncultured bacterium
Lineage: Bacteria
Description: bacterial SSU rRNA
Rfam family: Bacterial small subunit ribosomal RNA
Source: RNAcentral
GAUGAACGCUAGCGGCAGGCUUAACACAUGCAAGUCGAGGGGCAGCACGUGGUAGUAAUACUAUGGUGGCGACCGGCGCACGGGUGCGUAACGCGUAUACAACCUACCCUAUAGUGGUGAAUAACCCGGAGAAAUUCGGACUAAUACACCGUAAGUAUGGAAGUGGCAUCGCUUUUAUAUGAUAGAUUUAUUGUUAUGGGAUGGGUAUGCGUGACAUUAGGUAGUUGGUAGGGUAAUGGCCUACCAAGGCGACGAUGUCUAGGGGUUCUGAGAGGAAGGUCCCCCACACUGGUACUGAGACACGGACCAGACUCCUACGGGAGGCAGCAGUGAGGAAUAUUGGUCAAUGGGCGCAAGCCUGAACCAGCCAUGCCGCGUGCAGGAUGAAGGCUCUAUGAGUUGUAAACUGCUUUUAUGCAAGAAUAAUGUGGGCUACGUGUAGUUUUUUGAAUGUAUUGUAUGAAUAAGGACCGGCUAACUCCGUGCCAGCCGCCGCGGUAAUAC